This 468-nucleotide ribosomal RNA is filed under the name uncultured bacterium. RNAcentral describes it as "partial 16S ribosomal RNA". It matches the Rfam family "Bacterial small subunit ribosomal RNA", at positions 28 to 507 of the family's 1533-position model. The record is from RNAcentral.
GAUGAACGCUGGCGGCGUGCUUAACACAUGCAAGUCGAACGGAAAGGCCGAAGCUUGCUUCGGUACUCGAGUGGCGAACGGGUGAGUAACACGUGGGUGAUCUGCCCUGUACUUCGGGAUAAGCUUGGGAAACUGGGUCUAAUACCGGAUAUGACGAUCUCUUGGAUGGGGUUGUGGAAAGCUUUUGCGGUAUGGGAUGAGCUCGCGGCCUAUCAGCUUGUUGGUGGGGUAAUGGCCUACCAAGGCGUCGACGGGUAGCCGGCCUGAGAGGGUGUACGGCGACAUUGGGACUGAGAUACGGCCCAGAGUCUUACGGGGGGCAGUAGUGGGGAAAAUUGCACAAAGGGCGCAAGCGUGAGGCAGAGACGCGGCGUGGGGGAUGACGGCCUUCGGGUUGUAAACUCCUUUCGCAAUCGACGAAGCCUUUUGGUGACGGUAGGUGGAGAAGAAGCACCGGCUAACUACGUG